RNAcentral lists this ribosomal RNA (539 nucleotides) under uncultured bacterium. RNAcentral describes it as "bacterial SSU rRNA". It matches the Rfam family "Bacterial small subunit ribosomal RNA", at positions 102 to 674 of the family's 1533-position model. The record is from RNAcentral.
ACGGGUGAGUAACGCGUGGGAACAUACCUUUUAGUGGGGAAUAACUAUUGGAAACGAUAGCUAAUACCGCAUAAGCCCGAGAGGGGAAAGACGGAAGUUGCUAGGAGAGUGGCCCGCGUUAGAUUAGCUAGUUGGUGGGGUAAAGGCCUACCAAGGCGAUGAUCUAUAGCUGGUUUGAGAGGAUGAUCAGCCACACUGGAACUGAGAUACGGUCCAGACUCCUACGGGAGGCAGCAGUGGGGAAUAUUGGACAAUGGGGGAAACCCUGAUCCAGCAAUGCCGCGUGAGUGAAGAAGGCCUUCGGGUUGUAAAGCUCUUUUGUCGGUGAAGAUAAUGACGGUAACCGACGAAUAAGCACCGGCUAACUUCGUGCCAGCAGCCACGGUAAUACGAAGGGUGCUAGCGUUGUUCGGAAUGACUGGGCGUAAAGGGCGCGUAGGCGGCGUUAUAAGUUUGAUGUGAAAGUCCUGGGCUUAACCUGGGGAUUGCAUUGAAGACUGUGAUGCUAGAGUCCGCGAGAGGAAAACGGAAUUGUGCGU